This 99-nucleotide signal recognition particle RNA is filed under the name Avibacterium paragallinarum. Its description in RNAcentral is "signal recognition particle sRNA small type". It matches the Rfam family "Bacterial small signal recognition particle RNA". From Rfam's summary of the family: The signal recognition particle (SRP) is a universally conserved ribonucleoprotein involved in the co-translational targeting of proteins to membranes. RNAcentral also lists the same sequence under 4 other names. Lineage: Bacteria; Pseudomonadati; Pseudomonadota; Gammaproteobacteria; Pasteurellales; Pasteurellaceae. The record is from RNAcentral.
UUCUCGGUUCCUCGCAACGAGGUCUGGUUUACCCGGUCAGGUUCGGAAGAAAGCAGCCAAAGUCAGAUUUUUCGUGUGCCGAGAUCAAGCUGGGAAGGU